CUCUGUCUCAAAAAUAAAAUAAAAUUGGAAUGAUACAGAGAAGAUUAGCAUGGCUCCU
Small nuclear RNA from Colobus angolensis palliatus, 58 nucleotides. The record is from Ensembl. Lineage: Eukaryota; Metazoa; Chordata; Mammalia; Primates; Cercopithecidae.